UAGUGGCGCACGGGUGCGUAACGCGUAACCAACCUACCCACAUCUGGGGGAUAGCCCGCCGAAAGGCGGAUUAAUACCGCGUAAGCUACUUGGCCGGCAUCGGUUGGAUAGUAAAGAUUUAUUGGAUGUGGAUGGGGUUGCGUGCCAUUAGCUAGUUGGGGGGGUAACGGCCCACCAAGGCGACGAUGGCUAGGGGAGCUGAGAGGCUGGUCCCCCACACGGGCACUGAGAUACGGGCCCG
RNAcentral lists this ribosomal RNA (241 nucleotides) under uncultured bacterium. RNAcentral describes it as "partial 16S ribosomal RNA". It matches the Rfam family "Bacterial small subunit ribosomal RNA", at positions 93 to 334 of the family's 1533-position model. The record is from RNAcentral.